This 383-nucleotide unclassified non-coding RNA is filed under the name Hevea brasiliensis (rubber tree). The record is from RNAcentral. Lineage: Eukaryota; Viridiplantae; Streptophyta; Magnoliopsida; Malpighiales; Euphorbiaceae.
GUAAGGAUGUCAUUCUUUGUCCAGAUGCAUAAUAACCAUGGGGCAUACUAAAUGUGGCCUACAGUUUAAUUGACAGUGAAAAAUAUGCACAAAACUCAGUAAUGACAUGAAUUUACAAGUCAAACGAGGACCAGAGAACCAAUCUGCAGACAGAACAGUCAGCAAAAAUGUGGUAUUAUUAUACUGUUUAAUCAUACUCAUAAAAGGAUAUAACGACUCCCAGAGGGCCUUUCAAAAGAAUAUCAGCAGCACAAUGAUAGGCCUCUCAAAUCUACUUAUGCACAAGCACAAGGUAAAAAGAUAUGAUACGAAUUAAAAAUCGUACAAAAUUUUGCAUGCCAAGCAAACUAUCUAUUUAUUCCAUUUUUUUUUUGUGAUGAGAU